CCUACGGGAGGCAGCAGUAGGGAAUAUUGCGCAAUGGGGGAAACCCUGAAGCAGCAACGCCGCGUGGGGGAUGAAGGUUUUCGGAUUGUAAACCCCUUUUGGUAGAGAAGAAAAUGACGGUAUCUAACGAAUAAGCACCGGCUAACUCCGUGCCAGCAGCCGCGGUAAUACGGAGUGGGCAAGCGUUAUCCGGAAUCACUGGGCGUAAAGAGCGCGUAGGCGGGAUAGCAAGUCAGGUGUGAAAUCCUGUGGCUUAACCAUAGAACUGCAUUUGAAACUGUUCUUCUAGAGUAUGGGAGAGGUAGGUGGAAUUCUUGGUGUAGGGGUGAAAUCCGUAGAGAUUAAGAGGAAUACUCAUUGCGAAGGCGACCUGCUAGAACAUAACUGACGCUGAGGCGCGAAAGCGUGGGGAGCAAACAGGAUUAGAUACCCUAGUAGUC
Molecule: ribosomal RNA, 440 nt
Filed under: uncultured bacterium
Lineage: Bacteria
Description: partial 16S ribosomal RNA
Rfam family: Bacterial small subunit ribosomal RNA
Source: RNAcentral